UACGUAGGGGGCAAGCGUUAUCCGGAUUUACUGGGUGUAAAGGGAGCGUAGACGGUAUGGUAAGUCAGAUGUGAAAGCCCGGGGCUCAACCCCGGGACUGCAUUUGAAACUAUCAAACUGGAGUGCAGGAGAGGUAAGUGGAAUUCCUAGUGUAGCGGUGAAAUGCGUAGAUAUUAGGAGGAACACCAGUGGCGAAGGCGGCUUACUGGACUGUAACUGACGUUGAGGCUCGAAAGCGUGGGGAGCAAACAGGAUUAGAUACCCGGGUAGUCCCUGAG
RNAcentral lists this ribosomal RNA (278 nucleotides) under uncultured prokaryote. RNAcentral describes it as "partial 16S ribosomal RNA". It matches the Rfam family "Bacterial small subunit ribosomal RNA", at positions 524 to 801 of the family's 1533-position model. The record is from RNAcentral.